GGAGAGAUGGCUCAGCAGUUAAGAGCACUGGCUGCUCUUCCAGAGGACCCGGGUUCAAUUCCCAGUAUAUACG
RNAcentral lists this transfer RNA (73 nucleotides) under Neotoma lepida (desert woodrat). It matches the Rfam family "tRNA". From Rfam's summary of the family: Transfer RNA (tRNA) molecules are approximately 80 nucleotides in length. Their secondary structure includes four short double-helical elements and three loops (D, anti-codon, and T loops). Lineage: Eukaryota; Metazoa; Chordata; Mammalia; Rodentia; Cricetidae. The record is from Rfam by way of RNAcentral.